Molecule: ribosomal RNA, 374 nt
Filed under: uncultured organism
Description: partial 16S ribosomal RNA
Rfam family: Bacterial small subunit ribosomal RNA
Source: RNAcentral
GUAGGUGGCAAGCGUUGUCCGGAAUUAUUGGGCGUAAAGCGCGCGCAGGCGGUUCUUUAAGUCUGAUGUGAAAGCCCACGGCUCAACCGUGGAGGGUCAUUGGAAACUGGAGAACUUGAGUACAGAAGAGGAAAGCGGAAUUCCACGUGUAGCGGUGAAAUGCGUAGAGAUGUGGAGGAACACCAGUGGCGAAGGCGGCUUUCUGGUCUGUAACUGACGCUGAGGCGCGAAGGCGUGGGGAGCAAACAGGAUUAGAUACCCUGGUAGUCCACGCCGUAAACGAUGAGUGCUAAGUGUUAGGGGGGGUUUCCGCCCCCCUUAGUGCUGCAGCUAACGCAUUAAGCACUCCGCCUGGGAGUACGGCCGCAAGGCUG